This 503-nucleotide long non-coding RNA is filed under the name Lactuca sativa (garden lettuce). RNAcentral describes it as "long non-coding RNA (LSAT_LNC002009)". The record is from RNAcentral. Lineage: Eukaryota; Viridiplantae; Streptophyta; Magnoliopsida; Asterales; Asteraceae.
UUUUGGGGAAAGGACGCUAAGACGUCAAUUUCAAACUUAUUAUAUCAUCAUAAUGUAAUUUCUUUUGAAACAUCUAUUACAAUCAACAAUGUAACUUUUUAAAUUAUAUUUAUGAUGGUUGUGUUUGCUUUCUUUACUAUUUACUCAACUGUUCUGAUACUACAUGAAGUCAUCCGCCUUCGAACAAUUCCGCCGUUCUGGUUUAGAGGUUUGACAAAGGCCCUGUUUAAUAAGUCAUCCGCCUUCGAACAAUUCCGCCGUUCUGGUUUAGAGGUUUGACAAAGGCCCUGUUUAAUAAGUCAUCCGCCUUCGAACGAUUCCGCCGUUCUGGUUUGGGGGUUUGACAAAGGCCUCGUUUAAUAGUUGUUGACUGAGAAAGUGCUGAUUGGGAAAGGUCUAUCUAGGUAAGAAAUCCUGAACGAGUAACAAAUCAUGUUGUUUGAUUGUACAUCUGACCGGAUGUGCGGAAUGAUGACAAAUGACCAUUUUACCCUCGUUCUAAA